GAUUUGCGUGAAGGAUUGAGGCGGUAUCCUUUUAUGAAGUGAAACGGAAUAAAAGAUAAAGCCGAAAGCCUGACCCGGA
This 79-nucleotide small RNA is filed under the name Flavobacterium sp. 9. RNAcentral's name for it is "Flavo-1 RNA". It matches the Rfam family "Flavo-1 RNA". The record is from RNAcentral. Lineage: Bacteria; Pseudomonadati; Bacteroidota; Flavobacteriia; Flavobacteriales; Flavobacteriaceae.